This 429-nucleotide ribosomal RNA is filed under the name Pseudomonadota bacterium. RNAcentral describes it as "Proteobacteria bacterium partial 16S ribosomal RNA". It matches the Rfam family "Bacterial small subunit ribosomal RNA", at positions 355 to 776 of the family's 1533-position model. The record is from RNAcentral. Lineage: Bacteria; Pseudomonadati; Pseudomonadota.
UGGGGAAUAUUGGACAAUGGGCGAAAGCCUGAUCCAGCCAUGCCGCGUGUGUGAAGAAGGUCUUCGGAUUGUAAAGCACUUUAAGUUGGGAGGAAGGGCAGUAAGCGAAUACCUUGCUGUUUUGACGUUACCGACAGAAUAAGCACCGGCUAACUCUGUGCCAGCAGCCGCGGUAAUACAGAGGGUGCAAGCGUUAAUCGGAAUUACUGGGCGUAAAGCGCGCGUAGGUGGUUCGUUAAGUUGAAUGUGAAAGCCCCGGGCUCAACCUGGGAACUGCAUCCAACACUGGCGGGCUAGAGUAGGGGAGAGGGUGGUGGAAUUUCCUGUGUAGCGAUGAAAUGCGUAGAUAUAGGAAGGAACACCAGUGGCGAAGGCGACCACCUUGGCUCAUACUGACACUGAGGUGCGAAAGCGUGGGGAGCAAACGGG